GGUUUGUGGCUCAGUGAUAGAGCGCUUGCCUAGCAUGUGUGAGGCACUGGGUUCAAUUCUCAGCACUG
RNAcentral lists this transfer RNA (68 nucleotides) under Marmota monax (woodchuck). RNAcentral describes it as "tRNA.Ala". The stretch from base 5 to 65 matches the Rfam family "tRNA", at positions 6 to 65 of the family's 71-position model. From Rfam's summary of the family: Transfer RNA (tRNA) molecules are approximately 80 nucleotides in length. Their secondary structure includes four short double-helical elements and three loops (D, anti-codon, and T loops). Further hydrogen bonds mediate the characteristic L-shaped molecular structure. tRNAs have two regions of fundamental functional importance: the anti-codon, which is responsible for specific mRNA codon recognition, and the 3' end, to which the tRNAs corresponding amino acid is attached (by aminoacyl-tRNA synthetases). tRNAs cope with the degeneracy of the genetic code in two manners: having more than one tRNA (with a specific anti-codon) for a particular amino acid; and 'wobble' base-pairing, i.e. permitting non-standard base-pairing at the 3rd anti-codon position. The record is from RNAcentral. Lineage: Eukaryota; Metazoa; Chordata; Mammalia; Rodentia; Sciuridae.